Molecule: non-coding RNA, 31 nt
Filed under: Mus musculus (house mouse)
Lineage: Eukaryota; Metazoa; Chordata; Mammalia; Rodentia; Muridae
Source: RNAcentral
UGCCAAGAUGGGAAAUCCUUGCCUGCUCAUU